This 444-nucleotide ribosomal RNA is filed under the name uncultured Eubacteriales bacterium. Its description in RNAcentral is "bacterial SSU rRNA". It matches the Rfam family "Bacterial small subunit ribosomal RNA", at positions 338 to 795 of the family's 1533-position model. The record is from RNAcentral. Lineage: Bacteria; Bacillati; Bacillota; Clostridia; Eubacteriales.
CCUACGGGAGGCUGCAGUGGGGAAUAUUGGGCAAUGGGCGAAAGCCUUACCCAGCAAUGCCGCGUGUAUGAAGAAGGUCUUCGGAUUGUAAAGUACUAUAUUGGGGAAGAACACAAUGACGGUACCCAAGAGAAAAAGCCCCGGCUAACUAUGUGCCAGCAGCCGCGGUAAUACAUAGGGGGCUAGCUUUGUCCGGAAUUACUGGGCGUAAAGGGUGCGUAGGUGGCAAUGUAUGUUGGAAGUGUAAUCCCUCGGGCUUAACUCAGGGGCUGCUUCCAAAACUGCAUUACUUGAGUGUCGGAGAGGAAAACGGAAUUCCUAGUGUAGCGGUGAAAUGCUCAGAUAUUAGGAGGAACACCAGAGGCGAAGGCGGUUUUCUGGACGACAACUGACGCUGAGGCACGAAAGCGUGGGGAGCGAUUGGGAUUAGAUACCCGUGUAGUC